This 186-nucleotide ribosomal RNA is filed under the name Triticum aestivum (bread wheat). RNAcentral describes it as "partial small subunit ribosomal RNA". Lineage: Eukaryota; Viridiplantae; Streptophyta; Magnoliopsida; Poales; Poaceae. The record is from RNAcentral.
AUGGUGCUGUGGGAGAUCACCGCCAUCACCGCCUACUUCCUCGGCCUCCGCCGCACAUACUACCUCGCGCUCCGCGGCCAGCGCCGCCUCAUCGGGCCCAACCACCCCAGGCUCCGCGACUUCGUCUACAGGUACCAAAUCGCCGCCCCUCCUUCGUAUUCUUUUCUACAAGGGCGAGAGACCUGA